RNAcentral lists this ribosomal RNA (492 nucleotides) under uncultured bacterium. RNAcentral's name for it is "partial 16S ribosomal RNA". It matches the Rfam family "Bacterial small subunit ribosomal RNA", at positions 29 to 507 of the family's 1533-position model. The record is from RNAcentral.
AGUGAACGCUGGCGGUAGGCCUAACACAUGCAAGUCGAACGGCAGCGCAGUAAGAGCUUGCUCUUACGGGUGGCGAGUGGCGGACGGGUGAGGAAUACAUCGGAAUCUACUUUUUCGUGGGGGAUAACGUAGGGAAACUUACGCUAAUACCGCAUACGACCUACGGGUGAAAGCAGGGGAUCUUCGGACCUUGCGCGAUUGAAUGAGCCGAUGUCGGAUUAGCUAGUUGGCGGGGUAAAGGCCCACCAAGGCGACGAUCCGUAGCUGGCCUGAGAGGAUGAUCGGCCACACUGGAACUGGACCACGGUCCAUACUCCUACGGGAGGCACCAGUGGGGAAUGUUAGGCAACGGGCGCAAACAUGGUCCAGCCAUCCCGCGUGGGUGAAAGAGGCCUUCGGGUUGUAAAGCCCUUUUUUUGGGAAAAAAAAGCAGCAGGUUAAUACGCAGCUGUUCUGACGGUAACCAAAGAAUAAGCACCGGCUAACUUCGUG